RNAcentral lists this ribosomal RNA (740 nucleotides) under Brevundimonas sp. GICR15br. Its description in RNAcentral is "bacterial SSU rRNA". It matches the Rfam family "Bacterial small subunit ribosomal RNA", at positions 66 to 853 of the family's 1533-position model. The record is from RNAcentral. Lineage: Bacteria; Pseudomonadati; Pseudomonadota; Alphaproteobacteria; Caulobacterales; Caulobacteraceae.
ACGGACCCUUCGGGGUUAGUGGCGGACGGGUGAGUAACACGUGGGAACGUGCCUUUAGGUUCGGAAUAGCUCCUGGAAACGGGUGGUAAUGCCGAAUGUGCCCUUCGGGGGAAAGAUUUAUCGCCUUUAGAGCGGCCCGCGUCUGAUUAGCUAGUUGGUGAGGUAAAGGCUCACCAAGGCUACGAUCAGUAGCUGGUCUGAGAGGAUGACCAGCCACAUUGGGACUGAGACACGGCCCAAACUCCUACGGGAGGCAGCAGUGGGGAAUCUUGCGCAAUGGGCGAAAGCCUGACGCAGCCAUGCCGCGUGAAUGAUGAAGGUCUUAGGAUUGUAAAAUUCUUUCAGUAGGGACGAUAAUGACGGUACCUACAGAAGAAGCCCCGGCUAACUUCGUGCCAGCAGCCGCGGUAAUACGAAGGGGGCUAGCGUUGCUCGGAAUUACUGGGCGUAAAGGGAGCGUAGGCGGACAUUUAAGUCAGGGGUGAAAUCCCAGAGCUCAACUCUGGAACUGCCUUUGAUACUGGGUGUCUUGAGUGUGAUAGAGGUAUGUGGAACUCCGAGUGUAGAGGUGAAAUUCGUAGAUAUUCGGAAGAACACCAGUGGCGAAGGCGACAUACUGGAUCAUUACUGACGCUGAGGCUCGAAAGCGUGGGGAGCAAACAGGAUUAGAUACCCUGGUAGUCCACGCCGUAAACGAUGAUUGCUAGUUGUCGGGUUGUUUACAACUCGGUGACGCAGCU